GUGAAUGUGGUGUAAUGGUUAGCACAAGGGAAUGUGACUCCCUUUGAGGCGGUUCGAUUCCGCUCGUUCACA
RNAcentral lists this transfer RNA (72 nucleotides) under Herbidospora galbida. It matches the Rfam family "tRNA". Rfam says of the family: Transfer RNA (tRNA) molecules are approximately 80 nucleotides in length. Their secondary structure includes four short double-helical elements and three loops (D, anti-codon, and T loops). The record is from Rfam by way of RNAcentral. Lineage: Bacteria; Bacillati; Actinomycetota; Actinomycetes; Streptosporangiales; Streptosporangiaceae.